Molecule: long non-coding RNA, 220 nt
Filed under: Physcomitrium patens
Lineage: Eukaryota; Viridiplantae; Streptophyta; Bryopsida; Funariales; Funariaceae
Description: long non-coding RNA (PPAT_LNC007116)
Source: RNAcentral
GUUUCAAUACUUCUUCAAUGUACUUGCUUUGACUCAAUGUGAUGGUCUUUGAUACUCUAUUCCUUGUAAAUUCCACACCCAAACAAUAAUAAAGCUCUCCCAAAUCACUCAUUUCAAACUCUUUCUCCAAUUUCUUCUUCAACCAAUCUAAUUUUACCAUGGUGUUGCUUAAGAUGAUUAAAUCAUCUACAUAGAGGAUCACAACCAGCAAGAAGUCCUU